GUGUCAGCCGCCGCGGUAACACGGGGGGAGCAAGCGUUGUUCGGAAUCACUGGGCGUAAAGGGCGUGUAGGCGGUUUCGUAAGUGGGAUGUGAAAUCCCCCGGCUUACCCGGGGACCUGCAUCCCAAACUGCGCGACUUGAGUAUGGGAGAGGAUGAGGGAAUUCCUGGUGUAGCGGUGAAAUGCGUAGAUAUCAGGAGGAACACCGGUGGCGAAGGCGCUCAUCUGGCCCAAUACUGACGCUGAGGCGCGAAAGCUAGGGUAGCGAACGGGAUUAGAUACCCUCGUAGUCC
RNAcentral lists this ribosomal RNA (292 nucleotides) under uncultured bacterium. Its description in RNAcentral is "partial 16S ribosomal RNA". It matches the Rfam family "Bacterial small subunit ribosomal RNA", at positions 505 to 796 of the family's 1533-position model. The record is from RNAcentral.